AGUAAUGUAUGGGGAUCUGCCUGAUGGCGGGGGAUAACUACUGGAAACGGUAGCUAAUACCGCAUAAUGUCUGCGGACCAAAGCGGGGGACCUCCGGGCCUCGCGCCAUCGGAUGUGCCCAGAUGGGAUUAGCUAGUAGGUGGGGUAACGGCUCACCUAGGCGACGAUCCCUAGCUGGUCUGAGAGGAUGAUCAGCCACACUGGGACUGAGACACGGCCCAG
This 222-nucleotide ribosomal RNA is filed under the name uncultured bacterium. Its description in RNAcentral is "partial 16S ribosomal RNA". It matches the Rfam family "Bacterial small subunit ribosomal RNA", at positions 109 to 334 of the family's 1533-position model. The record is from RNAcentral.